AUUGAACGCUGGCGGCAGGCCUAACACAUGCAAGUCGAACGGUAACAGGAAGAAGCUUGCUUCUUUGCUGACGAGUGGCGGACGGGUGAGUAAUGUCUGGGAAACUGCCUGAUGGAGGGGGAUAACUACUGGAAACGGUAGCUAAUACCGCAUAACGUCGCAAGACCAAAAAGGGGGACCUUCGGGCCUCUUGCCAUCGGAUGUGCCCAGAUGGGAUUAGCUAGUAGGUGGGGUAACGGCUCACCUAGGCGACGAUCCCUAGCUGGUCUGAGAGGAUGACCAGCCACACUGGAACUGAGACACGGUCCAGACUCCUACGGGAGGCGGCAGUGGGGAAUAUUGCACAAUGGGCGCAAGCCUGAUGCAGCCAUGCCGCGUGUAUGAAGAAGGCCUUCGGGUUGUAAAGUACUUUCAGCGGGGAGGAAGGGAGUAAAGUUAAUACCUUGGCUCAUUGACGUUACCCGCAGAAGAAGCACCGGCUAACUCCGUG
Molecule: ribosomal RNA, 490 nt
Filed under: uncultured bacterium
Lineage: Bacteria
Description: partial 16S ribosomal RNA
Rfam family: Bacterial small subunit ribosomal RNA
Source: RNAcentral